Molecule: ribosomal RNA, 2079 nt
Filed under: Salmonella enterica subsp. enterica serovar Enteritidis
Lineage: Bacteria; Pseudomonadati; Pseudomonadota; Gammaproteobacteria; Enterobacterales; Enterobacteriaceae
Description: partial 23S ribosomal RNA
Rfam family: Bacterial large subunit ribosomal RNA
Source: RNAcentral
GGUUGAAGGUUGGGUAACACUAACUGGAGGACCGAACCGACUAAUGUUGAAAAAUUAGCGGAUGACCUGUGGCUGGGGGUGAAAGGCCAAUCAAACCGGGAGAUAGCUGGUUCUCCCCGAAAGCUAUUUAGGUAGCGCCUCGUGAAUUCAUCUCCGGGGGUAGAGCACUGUUUCGGCUAGGGGGCCAUCCCGGCUUACCAACCCGAUGCAAACUGCGAAUACCGGAGAAUGUUAUCACGGGAGACACACGGCGGGUGCUAACGUCCGUCGUGAAGAGGGAAACAACCCAGACCGCCAGCUAAGGUCCCAAAGUCAUGGUUAAGUGGGAAACGAUGUGGGAAGGCCCAGACAGCCAGGAUGUUGGCUUAGAAGCAGCCAUCAUUUAAAGAAAGCGUAAUAGCUCACUGGUCGAGUCGGCCUGCGCGGAAGAUGUAACGGGGCUAAACCAUGCACCGAAGCUGCGGCAGCGACACUGUGUGUUGUUGGGUAGGGGAGCGUUCUGUAAGCCUGCGAAGGUGGCCUGUGAGGGUUGCUGGAGGUAUCAGAAGUGCGAAUGCUGACAUAAGUAACGAUAAAGCGGGUGAAAAGCCCGCUCGCCGGAAGACCAAGGGUUCCUGUCCAACGUUAAUCGGGGCAGGGUGAGUCGACCCCUAAGGCGAGGCCGAAAGGCGUAGUCGAUGGGAAACGGGUUAAUAUUCCCGUACUUGGUGUUACUGCGAAGGGGGGACGGAGAAGGCUAUGUUGGCCGGGCGACGGUUGUCCCGGUUUAAGCGUGUAGGUGUGUGUUCCAGGUAAAUCCGGUUCACUUUAACACUGAGGCGUGACGACGAGGCACUACGGUGCUGAAGCAACAAAUGCCCUGCUUCCAGGAAAAGCCUCUAAGCAUCAGGUAACAUCAAAUCGUACCCCAAACCGACACAGGUGGUCAGGUAGAGAAUACCAAGGCGCUUGAGAGAACUCGGGUGAAGGAACUAGGCAAAAUGGUGCCGUAACUUCGGGAGAAGGCACGCUGACACGUAGGUGAAGUGAUUUACUCAUGGAGCUGAAGUCAGUCGAAGAUACCAGCUGGCUGCAACUGUUUAUUAAAAACACAGCACUGUGCAAACACGAAAGUGGACGUAUACGGUGUGACGCCUGCCCGGUGCCGGAAGGUUAAUUGAUGGGGUCAGCGCAAGCGAAGCUCCUGAUCGAAGCCCCGGUAAACGGCGGCCGUAACUAUAACGGUCCUAAGGUAGCGAAAUUCCUUGUCGGGUAAGUUCCGACCUGCACGAAUGGCGUAAUGAUGGCCAGGCUGUCUCCACCCGAGACUCAGUGAAAUUGAACUCGCUGUGAAGAUGCAGUGUACCCGCGGCAAGACGGAAAGACCCCGUGAACCUUUACUAUAGCUUGACACUGAACAUUGAGCCUUGAUGUGUAGGAUAGGUGGGAGGCUUUGAAGUGUGGACGCCAGUCUGCAUGGAGCCGACCUUGAAAUACCACCCUUUAAUGUUUGAUGUUCUAACGUGGACCCGUUACCCGGGUUGCGGACAGUGUCUGGUGGGUAGUUUGACUGGGGCGGUCUCCUCCUAAAGAGUAACGGAGGAGCACGAAGGUUGGCUAAUCCUGGUCGGACAUCAGGAGGUUAGUGCAAUGGCAUAAGCCAGCUUGACUGCGAGCGUGACGGCGCGAGCAGGUGCGAAAGCAGGUCAUAGUGAUCCGGUGGUUCUGAAUGGAAGGGCCAUCGCUCAACGGAUAAAAGGUACUCCGGGGAUAACAGGCUGAUACCGCCCAAGAGUUCAUAUCGACGGCGGUGUUUGGCACCUCGAUGUCGGCUCAUCACAUCCUGGGGCUGAAGUAGGUCCCAAGGGUAUGGCUGUUCGCCAUUUAAAGUGGUACGCGAGCUGGGUUUAGAACGUCGUGAGACAGUUCGGUCCCUAUCUGCCGUGGGCGCUGGAGAACUGAGGGGGGCUGCUCCUAGUACGAGAGGACCGGAGUGGACGCAUCACUGGUGUUCGGGUUGUCAUGCCAAUGGCACUGCCCGGUAGCUAAAUGCGGAAGAGAUAAGUGCUGAAAGCAUCUAAGCACGAAACUUGCCCCGAG